CUAAAAAUAUUUUAUUGCUAAUUUAACUUUAUACAUAACACGUUAGCAUAUUUACAAUUCGUUUACCCGAAUAUAUGAGCAUCUUGUAUCAUCCGAUAAAAAAAACAGACGCGUUUUCGUUUUUGUACAAUAAUGAAUAUCCGCAGUCGUAGUUAUUGUUCGAUAAAAAAUAAAAAUAACAGGGAUUAAUAAUCGAUGGAUAUCGAUAACAUAAUAUUUUAACAAUUAACACGCGGUAAGAGACCUAGAGGCUAAUGUCGGGGCAAUCGAGCGCUAAAAAUAAAGGGACAUUCUCUAUCUAAAAAUACGACGCGGUAAAUGGCGCUUUUAACGUACCAGUACGCGUAGGGCGAGAUGAGGGGCGAAUAAAAGAAACGAGGAAGUUAAACCGAUACACGUUGUAUAAGUUUCGUGCAAAAGGGAACUUCGUACGGUCUUGCAAAGCAUAUAAUAAAACAAACAUUUUUCACGUGUAAACUCAACGCUGAACCCGACCCGUGGACAGAGAAUCGAGUUUCGCAGAAAAUUUUCGGAUCGAUUUGUUUGUCGAUAAGUACAUAAAAAAAGAGAGAAAAAAAAAGAAGUCAAGAAGACGUGUAUAUACAUAUAUAGUGUGCAUCGUUUGAAAAGAUUAAUCGAAACUCGAUUCGACGGACGUCUUUGCGACGAGUCCGCGUUUCUGCGUUGAGUUAUCAGUCUUGCGGCUCUCGAGAGAAAAAUUGUACAUUUACGACGCGCAGGCGUACCGUGUUUGACAUGCGUGCUUCCGUUAAUGAGGUACACACCGAUCGCGGCAGGGAAAAACUAGUUCGAGCGAGUCGCUUACAUUUGACUAAGAACGGAUACCCCUGGUGGUCGCGAUUCACGCCUCUUUUAUUCCGUUGCGCGUCCACACUUUGCAACAAAUAAUACAUACUACCGGCCGAUGGAACAGCAGAUCACCAUAAAUCUCUAACGAGCCAAACCAAUCGAACGUUCCGUGCUCUUUAUUCCCGAUAGUUAUGGCGCGAAACAUUGUUUUUCUUUUACUUUUAAGUUUCGGUUAAGAUUCGGAAUAUUUUGCGAACAGAAUCGAUCUGGUUUGGCUCCCGAGAGAUUGUAGGUUAGUUUCGGACGAACUCGAGUAGCAUUCGAUUCUCCGUUGAUAUUUUGGCACAUCACACGCUUAAUUUACGACUUUGUUAUGUAUCUUUCACCGCAACGCUCGUAUAUUCGUUUAUCGAUUGAAUUACCGAUGGUUUCGUUCCCAUCGACGAUCUAUUUUUAAAGGUAGCCGUAGAGCGACAGGCUUACAAAAGACGCUAGAGGGCGGCUGUGUAAUUUCAUCGAGUAUAUGUAUAUUAAUCUGAUACUGAUAGACUUCGAUCGAAACCACAGAACAAUGAUAUACCGGAUAUUGAAAUAAUUAAAAAAUGUCUUACGCAUACGUAAAAAUAGGAAGAUAGCUUGAUCGUAAACGAUACAAAUUAUUGUUUAUAAAUUCCUGACCAGUGAUUAUCAGUACCAGAGUCUAGGCCCACCUCUGCAACAUUCGAGACAACUUUUUCAAGCUCUACAGAACGAAAACGAUACAGCAUGCUUUUCUCGGUUCAUCGAACUCGUUGCAGUUUAUCCGUUACUAUUAACAUGUAUACAUAUGUGUAUAUAAUAUCGCGUUCAUUUCAUACGUACAUAGGGUGUCCUGUAAUACGCGGUAUAAUCGAAAAGGUGGCAAUUCUACGGCUCGAAACAAAUGUCGAAAUAGUUUCUUGGAACAGAUAUACAUUGCAUAUUUCUAUACAGAUUUUUGGACGUGGAAUCGCCUCCAUUGCGACUGUACCGGCGACUACAAUGAAACCCCGGCAUUAGUACAGAAACAGAUAGCGAGAAAAGCAUUAUUUCGCUCUAAAGGAUAUCGGCAAAGUCGUAUUACGCUUAGCUUAUCUCUAUCGAUUUAACGUUUGUUGUACCGUGAUCGAUAUUCUGCACGUACACGAGCAUAAAUACGUUUGGAAGAUCGAUUCUUCUCUUUAAUCCGAUCGUUCGUAAUAUUCUUCCGUGAUUCGCGAUUCGUUGAUUGGCAAACGAUCGUGUACAAUAUCUGGAGUUGAUCGAGUACAAGAUAUCGUACGAAAAGAACAGUGGUUUUGGUUCUUGAUCCCGAAGAUAAUCACGAUGACAGAAAGGGGGGCUUACAAGUAACGGUAACGGUAACGGUAACGAAUAAGUAGAUUGCUUUUACCCUUUUCGACAUAAAUAUAAUCAUCGAGUGUCUUUUUCGUAUAAAA
Molecule: long non-coding RNA, 2267 nt
Organism: Colletes gigas
Lineage: Eukaryota; Metazoa; Arthropoda; Insecta; Hymenoptera; Colletidae
Exons: 2
Source: RefSeq, a predicted model, not a curated record